This is a non-coding RNA of Chelonoidis abingdonii (Abingdon island giant tortoise), 100 nucleotides long. NCBI's taxonomy places the organism in Eukaryota, Metazoa, Chordata, Testudines, Testudinidae. The record is from RefSeq and is a predicted model, not a curated record.
GGAAAACUGACUCCAUGUCUGGUCUUCACAGUUCAAGAAGAGUAUUGAUAAAUUGGAGAGGGUUCAGAGAAGAGCCACGAGAAUGAUCAGAGGACUGGAA